CAAUGGGCGCAAGCCUGAUCCAGCCAUGCCGCGUGCGGGAAGAAGGCCUUCGGGUUGUAAACCGCUUUUGUCAGGGAAGAAAAGGUUCUGGCUAAUACCUGGGACUCAUGACGGUACCUGAAGAAUAAGCACCGGCUAACUCCGUGCCAGCAGCCGCGGUAAUACGGAGGGGGUUAGCGUUGUUCGGAAUUACUGGGCGUAAAGCGCGCGUAGGCGGACUGGAAAGUUGGGGGUGAAAUCCCAGGGCUCAACCCUGGAACUGCCUCCAAAACUAUCGGUCUAGAGUUCGAGAGAGGUGAGUGGAAUUCCGAGUGUAGAGGUGAAAUUCGUAGAUAUUCGGAGGAACACCAGUGGCGAAGGCGGCUCACUGGCUCGAUACUGACGCUGAGGUGCGAAAGUGUGGGGAGCAAACAGGAUUAGAUACCCUGGUAGUCCACACCGUAAACGCUGUCUACUAGCUGUGUGUGCCUUUAAGGCGUGCGUAGCGAAGCUAACGCGCUAAGUAGACCGCCUGGGGAGUACGGCCGCAAGGUUAAAACUCAAAUGAAUUGACGGGGGCCCGCACAAGCGGUGGAGCAUGUGGUUUAAUUCGAUGCAACGCGAAGAACCUUACCUACACUUGACAUGUUGAGAAGUUACCAGAGAUGGUUUCGUGCCUUCGGGAACUCAAACACAGGUGCUGCAUGGCUGUCGUCAGCUCGUGUCGUGAGAUGUUCGGUUAAGUCCGGCAACGAGCGCAACCCACAUCCUUAGUUGCCAGCAGGUUAAGCUGGGCACUCUAGGGAAACUGCCCGUGAUAAGCGGGAGGAAGGUGUGGAUGACGUCAAGUCCUCAUGGCCCUUACGGGUUGGGCUACACACGUGCUACAAUGG
This 872-nucleotide ribosomal RNA is filed under the name Paraphysomonas imperforata. Its description in RNAcentral is "partial Bacterial small subunit ribosomal RNA". It matches the Rfam family "Bacterial small subunit ribosomal RNA", at positions 369 to 1233 of the family's 1533-position model. The record is from RNAcentral. Lineage: Eukaryota; Chrysophyceae; Chromulinales; Paraphysomonadaceae.